GCAUUGGUGGCUCAGUGGUAGAAUUCUUGUUUUCCAUGUGUGAGAUCCAAGUUCAAUUCUCAGCCAAUGCA
This 71-nucleotide transfer RNA is filed under the name Loxodonta africana (African savanna elephant). It matches the Rfam family "tRNA". From Rfam's summary of the family: Transfer RNA (tRNA) molecules are approximately 80 nucleotides in length. Their secondary structure includes four short double-helical elements and three loops (D, anti-codon, and T loops). Further hydrogen bonds mediate the characteristic L-shaped molecular structure. tRNAs have two regions of fundamental functional importance: the anti-codon, which is responsible for specific mRNA codon recognition, and the 3' end, to which the tRNAs corresponding amino acid is attached (by aminoacyl-tRNA synthetases). tRNAs cope with the degeneracy of the genetic code in two manners: having more than one tRNA (with a specific anti-codon) for a particular amino acid; and 'wobble' base-pairing, i.e. permitting non-standard base-pairing at the 3rd anti-codon position. Lineage: Eukaryota; Metazoa; Chordata; Mammalia; Proboscidea; Elephantidae. The record is from Rfam by way of RNAcentral.